UACGAAGGGGGCUAGCGUUGCUCGGAAUUACUGGGCGUAAAGGGCGCGUAGGCGGAUGACUAAGUCGAGGGUGAAAGCCCGGGGCUCAACCUCGGAACUGCCUUUGAUACUGGUCAUCUUGAGUACGGGAGAGGUGUGUGGAACUCCGAGUGUAGAGGUGAAAUUCGUAGAUAUUCGGAAGAACACCAGUGGCGAAGGCGACACACUGGCCCGUUACUGACGCUGAGGCGCGAAAGCGUGGGGAGCAAACAGG
RNAcentral lists this ribosomal RNA (253 nucleotides) under uncultured bacterium. Its description in RNAcentral is "partial 16S ribosomal RNA". It matches the Rfam family "Bacterial small subunit ribosomal RNA", at positions 524 to 776 of the family's 1533-position model. The record is from RNAcentral. RNAcentral also lists the same sequence under 1 other name.